AGAGUUUGAUCAUGGCUCAGAAUCAACGCUGGCGGCGUGCCUAACACAUGCAAGUCGAACGAGAAAGUGGAGCAAUCCAUGAGUAAAGUGGCGACCGGGUGAGUAACACGUGACUAACCUACCUUCGAGUGGGGGAUAACCUCGGGAAACCGGGGCUAAUACCGCAUAAAAUCUUUGGGAUGAGAAGCCGAAGAUCAAAGGAGCAAUUCGCUUGAAGAGGGGGUCGCGGCUGAUUAGCUAGUUGGUGGGGUAACGGCCCACCAAGGCUUUGAUCGGUAGCCGGCCUGAGAGGGCGCACGGCCACACUGGAACUGAAACACGGUCCAGACUCCUACGGGAGGCAGCAGUGGGGAAUUUUGCGCAAUGGGGGAAACCCUGACGCAGCAACGCCGCGUGGAGGAUGAAGUCCCUUGGGACGUAAACUCCUUUCGACCGGGACGAUAAUGACGGUACCGGUGGAAGAAGCCCCGGCUAACUUCGUGCCAGCCGCCGCGGUAAUAC
Molecule: ribosomal RNA, 501 nt
Filed under: uncultured bacterium
Lineage: Bacteria
Description: bacterial SSU rRNA
Rfam family: Bacterial small subunit ribosomal RNA
Source: RNAcentral